AUGUCUGCUCUUCUGCUUCCUUUAGGUACAAUCCAGGCCAUCGAUAGUCGCCGUCGGGCUUUCUUCUGGGCAGGACAGGAUACGAUCUCUGGGGGUCAGUGUAAAGUUGCGUGGGAUGCGGUCUGUGCUCCCUUCUCUCGUGGGGGUCUUGGGUUUCUGUCGUUGCAUCAAUUCAACCGGUGUCUUCUCCUCAAACAACUGCUCAAAAUUCACUCACACUGCAUAACCUCCGAGCCAAACCACCUGGCCUCCACCUCCGGAUGGAGCCACCACCGUGACCUUGGCGACCCAACGCGUCUUAAUACUGUUAUCCGGCGCGACAUGGCAAAGGGUCUUCCUCUGCUCCGUGCUAUCACCAGGGUAAUCCCUGGCGAUGGUCGUUCCACAACAUUCUGGCUAGACUUAUGGAUCCCUAACCACACCACCACUCUAGCAGUUCAGUUCCCGGCCAUUUUUUCCCAUACUCUUAGACCGAACGCUUCCCUUGCAGCUGUUCUAGCCCACCCACAACUAAACACCUACCUCGCCCCACGACUCUCGCAUGCUGCAGAGAGAGACCUCGAAUCUAUCCGCUCUAUCCUCGCCAUGUUUUCCUUGAAUGAACAGGUACCUGACCGGAGAAUCAGCAGGCUCGAAGGUAAACCUCUGACCACGUCCUUCGCAUAUGGGGCAAUAUGGAUGGACCGAUCGGUGGAUCCGAUGGCGCCUGCAAUCUAG
Molecule: ribosomal RNA, 717 nt
Filed under: Triticum aestivum (bread wheat)
Lineage: Eukaryota; Viridiplantae; Streptophyta; Magnoliopsida; Poales; Poaceae
Description: partial small subunit ribosomal RNA
Source: RNAcentral